CACCAAGAGAUCAAGUUAUGUAUAUUAAGGUAAAAAGGCAGUUAAAUACAAAUAAUUGAUUUAUUGGUUUAUUCAUUUUUUAUAUAAAGGUAAAAUUUAGAUAUAAAUAAAUAAUUUGAUACAAGCCAGUUAAAAUUGAAUCUGCGAUAGCCUUGAGGGAAACUGGGAUUAGAUACCCCAUUAUUCUUGGUCGUAAAUAAAUAAUGAUUUACCGGAGUACUAUGAAUUAAUUAAAUAAAAUUUAAAACUCAAAGGGCUUGGCGGUGUUUUAGACCUCUCAGGGGAACCUGUCUCAUAAUCGACAAUCCACGUUAGACCUAACCUCUAUUUGCAAUUCAGUUUGUAUACCGUCGUCGUCAGGUAACUUUUAAAAAAUAAGAAGUUGGCAGAAAAACUAAUUGAGUUUAGACGUCAGAUCAAGGUGCAGCCUAUAUGGAGGUGAGGAUGGGUUACAAUUAAUAUUUAUAACUACGGAUAGGAUAAUGAAAUUAUUCUCUUAAUGAAGGAGGACUUGAAAGUAAAAUAAAUCUAUAUAAAUAGUUUGAAUAAGGCUCUGAAACGUGC
This 564-nucleotide ribosomal RNA is filed under the name Bursina margaritula. RNAcentral's name for it is "partial 12S ribosomal RNA". Lineage: Eukaryota; Metazoa; Mollusca; Gastropoda; Littorinimorpha; Bursidae. The record is from RNAcentral.